GGUUGUGUGGUUUAGAUGGUUAUAAUUCUGCUUAACAUCAACGUGUUCGCAGACGGUCCCAGGUUCAGUCCUGGCACAAUCA
RNAcentral lists this transfer RNA (82 nucleotides) under Schizosaccharomyces japonicus. Its description in RNAcentral is "SJAG_16147.1". The record is from RNAcentral. RNAcentral also lists the same sequence under 1 other name. Lineage: Eukaryota; Fungi; Ascomycota; Schizosaccharomycetes; Schizosaccharomycetales; Schizosaccharomycetaceae.